CGCAUCUGUGCAUGCAGCAUAUCAAUAAGCGGAGGAAAAGUCAACUACCUACGCUUAGGAUGUUGACGCGCGUGUGUGCGUGAUCUAUACAUGACUCUGUGCAUAUCAAUAAGCGGAGGAAAAGAAACUAACAAGGAUUCCCUUAGUAACGGCGAGUGAAGCGGGAAGAGCUCAAAUUUGAAAUCUUCAAGGUUUUACCUUGACGAAUUGUAGUUUAAAGAAGUGUUUUCUGUUGAAGUUUUGGUAAAAGUUCUUUGGAAUAGGACAUCAUAGAGGGUGAGAAUCCCGUAUUUGACCAUUAUUUUCAGCUGUGUGAUACGCUUUCAAAGAGUCGGAUUGUUUGGGAAUGCAGUCCAAAAUGGGUGGUAAAUUUCAUCUAAAGCUAAAUAUUGGCGAGAGACCGAUAGCGAACAAGUACCGUGAGGGAAAGAUGAAAAGAACUUUGAAAAGAGAGUUAAACAGUACGUGAAAUUGUCAAAAGGGAAGCGUUUGACACCAGGUGUUGUUUUCUCGAAAAUCAAUUAAAAAGAGUUAGAUUUUGUUGUGUCAUUGACCUUAACAGCUUGCAUUUCAAUUUUCUUGCUUUUUUUAAUGCACUUUUCGUUUAACAAGUCAACAUCAGUUUCUUUUGUUGUAAAAAGGUCAUUGGAAGGUGGCUCUUCUUUUCGGAGAAAGUGUUUAUAGCCUUUGACUCCUGCAAUCGGAGAGACUGAGGUCUGCAGCGUAGAUCCUUCGGGGUUAGAUACAUUUGUGCUAAGUUAUAGCUUUUUAUAGACAACUUGUUGACUAUGAUUAGUCUUGUAGCUUACUCGCUUAUGCUAUUUUACCUACGCUUAGGAUGUUGACGCGCGUGUGUGCGUG
RNAcentral lists this ribosomal RNA (861 nucleotides) under uncultured Neocallimastigales. RNAcentral describes it as "partial large subunit ribosomal RNA". It matches the Rfam family "Eukaryotic large subunit ribosomal RNA", at positions 1 to 639 of the family's 3401-position model. Lineage: Eukaryota; Fungi; Neocallimastigomycota; Neocallimastigomycetes; Neocallimastigales. The record is from RNAcentral.